Molecule: ribosomal RNA, 491 nt
Filed under: uncultured bacterium
Lineage: Bacteria
Description: partial 16S ribosomal RNA
Rfam family: Bacterial small subunit ribosomal RNA
Source: RNAcentral
GAUGAACGCUGGCUACAGGCUUAACACAUGCAAGUCGAGGGGAAACGACGGGGAAGCUUGCUUCCCCGGGCGUCGACCGGCGCACGGGUGAGUAACGCGUAUCCAACCUGCCCCUGACUGAGGGAUAACCCGUCGAAAGUCGGCCUAAUACCUCAUGGUAUCGUCUGCGGGCAUCCAACGACGAUUAAAGAUUUCAUCGGUCAGGGAUGGGGAUGCGUCUGAUUAGCUUGUUGGCGGGGUAACGGCCCACCAAGGCUACGAUCAGUAGGGGUUCUGAGAGGAAGGUCCCCCACAUUGGAACUGAGACACGGUCCAAACUCCUACGGGAGGCAGCAGUGAGGAAUAUUGGUCAAUGGGCGAGAGCCUGAACCAGCCAAGUAGCGUGCAGGAAGACGGCCCUAUGGGUUGUAAACUGCUUUUAUGCGGGGAUAAAGUGAGGGACGUGUCCCUCAUUGCAGGUACCGCAUGAAUAAGGACCGGCUAAUUCCGUG